CAAAAAAGCUUUCUUAACUCAGGAGUUAGUAGCCAUGAGGCAUUUUACACUGUCACAAGACAUGUCGAGGUUGUUUGAGCUUGAUGUUUUUAGCUGUAAAAUCUGAUUAUUUGCUCUGCUAUUUUUCUGCACAUUGAAAUUAAUCUUGACCAUCUGUAACUCCGUAAUUUUUCUUCUUUUCCACUUUCAUACCUUUCAUAGACUGUAUUUACUUUUUCUAGCUUUCUUUUUCUCUCUGUUUUAGAACUUUAUUGCCAGCAGCCAACAGUCUUGUAACACUUCUACCCUAAUAGUGUUACAUAUUCUUUGACUCUAUCAAGAACACGUAAUGAAUCCCAAUAUUCUUCCCCAUACUCCACUGUUAAUGGAUGCAGUAGCAAAAAAUUUAAAUGAAACGAUAGUUUAUUUCCUUUGUUAAAGGAAUUGAUAAUGGUUGUCAGGGUUAAGGGAAUAUAGGCCAGUUUUUAUUGGAAGAGCUUAGCCCCUGAAAAUGCUUUUGUAGUUAUAUAGCAAGUGAAGAAAUAUUUUUUUUUUUUUUGUACUCUAGGAGUUCUCAAAACAAAAGCACAGACACUAGGUUGUUAUAGUAUUACGAGUCUUACUAAUUCCAUUUUCACUGGAUGAAUACAGGCUGAGGCUGGUUGAAGCUUGUUUGUGCAUCCAGGGUGAUAGCAAUGUUUAUAAUUAUGGAGAGCUCCUCGUAGAUCUGUUUAUUCUCUUUCAAACUUCUCCCUUCAUUGUCAGCGCAGGGAUGCGCUGAAGGUCCUUCAUAGCAGUGUGGUAGCUUGGCUCAGCUCUACAGUUCUUUCUGAACACUGAGUCUAUCAGGGCUUUGAGCAAGUGAUAGAAGUGUUGUAAGCAGGCUACAGUGAGAAAGUAGACUGAUUUGGGCACCUGUGUACUGCAUAACUGUAAAUUUUUUGCUGGGCCUGGAGCAGUUGCUUUAGCAAGCUGGAAGGGAUUGCAUGCCUCAGAUUAGAACCUAUUCUAUAAAUAUACGUCAUAUAUUUCUUAGUUUGCUGACAAAAUGAGCUUGGGACAAACCCUAUUCUUUCCAAAGUUUGUCUUGAGAAUAUCAUAUAGUAGAAAGGAAAUUUGAAAUUCAUCUUGCAAAGCAUGUUAGGUUACUCCUUUGUUUCCAGUUGCUAAUUUUUCUAUGCAAACUAGGUCAAUUAUUAAAAAAAACCAAGCAAGUGAGCACUGUUUGUUAACUGGGUUAAUUCAUUUGGUAUCUAGUAUAAUUCCUCAGUUCUUUUUGUUUCUCUUUUUAAAUACUGCUUUUAUUAGCUUCCAUAGAAGAAGCGUACAUUUAUGCUUAAUAUUUGAUAUUUUUGUUGAAUUUACAAGAGUCAAUUUUGUAUCCUGUAAGAUAAAGGUGAGAUACAAAAGCAAGAUACUAAGCCUCUAUGGAUCCAAUUUGUUAGAUAAACUACACAAAGCAUGUGAAUACAGGAAUCUUCUGUAGGGCGAGACCAUAGACUAGCAUGAGCCACAGCAGCAAAUCUGUGUUCUCUCCUUCAAAUAUCAUUAGCUGUAUAUAUCGAUACUUUUUCUAAAAUAGGUGUGCUGUACUGUUUGCUAUAGAUAGUAAUGUGACAGCUGGAAUGUUGUUCAUGCUGUUGAAAGUAUCUUGUGAAUCUCCCAUUUUUACCUAAAAAUAUGGGUAUGACUGUAUUGGAUGUAUAGAUACUCCGUUGUUGGAUGAUUUUACUUGAUUUUGGGUAAAGAACUUAAAAAUGCCUCUAACUCACAAUUAGUAGUUUUCUGUACUUCAUUCCUCUUCUGGACUUGGCAUGAAAUUUGAUGUAUAAAUUCCUUUGAUUAUAGUAUAUAUAAAACAUAGAAAGCUACUCCUAGACAACUAUAUUAAAAUGCAGACAGUAUUUUGCCCACAUGAUAUCUUCUUGCAGUUUUGGUAUAAUGACUGCAUUUUCUUAUGUGUGUGUGGAAAUUCUUGUCUUUCCUUUUCUCAUCUUUAGACAUGUGAAAAUUUCUCUGUGCGUUGCUUUUGCAAAAAGUAUGACAGGACCAUACUCUCUUCAUUGGGAAAUCGUUACAGAUUGAAGUGAAGAAAACUAGGAAAUUGUGGUAAAUUAUAUUCACUUCACAAGCAAGGAUAGGGAUGAAAAAAGCUUCUUUUUCUGAUAGAGGUUCAGCUAACUAGCCCUUGGAGAGGCCAAGUUAUUAACAUGCUAAUGAUUUUUUGUUAUUAUUCUAACCAAGUUAUAGCCAGCAAAAAAAUUGUCAGCAGUUGAUAGUCAAAAGAGUUUUUGAAUUACUAAGUGGAAAAUUGAAGACAAAUUGCUGUUUUACACUAGAGUGGGUCUUUGAUUUAAUGGUAUAUGCAAUCACUGAUUUUCCCAAAGAGAUAUUGAGUAUGAUACACUGCAAAAAGUAUUGUGCUAAUACAAAUAUAUUGUAUAAAGUAUACUCCUUUUUCAAAUAUGUUUUCUGGCAAGAUGCCAUCAUUGUAUUCUGUGGAUCACUUCAAUAUUACUUGAAAUUUACUCCAAAAGUGCAAUAAGAGGGAUGAAUGAUGCAACCUGAAUCUCAAAUGGCUCCCUUUUUCAGUAGAAUAAGAAGGAACCUAAAUAAUGAAUCAACCAACCAAACACUUGGUUACAGGGCAACUCAUGUCACAUUUGUAUCUGCAAGAUCUUCCUAUAAUGUAU
RNAcentral lists this long non-coding RNA (2672 nucleotides) under Gallus gallus (chicken). The record is from RNAcentral. Lineage: Eukaryota; Metazoa; Chordata; Aves; Galliformes; Phasianidae.